This 166-nucleotide ribosomal RNA is filed under the name Aphrodes hamiltoni. RNAcentral describes it as "partial 16S ribosomal RNA". Lineage: Eukaryota; Metazoa; Arthropoda; Insecta; Hemiptera; Cicadellidae. The record is from RNAcentral.
CUGCCCUAUGAUAAGUAUUAAAUGGCUGCAGUAUUUUAACUGUACAAAGGUAGCAUAAUAAAUAGUUUCUUAAUUGGGAGCUUGUAUGAAAGGGUUUAUGAAUUAUAAUUUUUAUUUUAUUUAUUUUUAGAAUUUUAUUUCUAAGUAAAAAAGCUUAGUUUUUUUU